Molecule: transfer RNA, 77 nt
Filed under: Gammaproteobacteria bacterium
Lineage: Bacteria; Pseudomonadati; Pseudomonadota; Gammaproteobacteria
Description: tRNA-Pro
Rfam family: tRNA
About the family: Transfer RNA (tRNA) molecules are approximately 80 nucleotides in length.
Source: RNAcentral
CGGGGCGUAGCGCAGCCUGGUAGCGCACUACACUGGGGGUGUAGUGGUCGUGGGUUCAAAUCCCGCCGCCCCGACCA